Molecule: ribosomal RNA, 253 nt
Filed under: uncultured bacterium
Lineage: Bacteria
Description: partial 16S ribosomal RNA
Rfam family: Bacterial small subunit ribosomal RNA
Source: RNAcentral
UACGUAGGGGCCGAGCGUUGUCCGGAGUUAUUGGGCGUAAAGCGCGCGCAGGCGGCCUCGCGCGCCCGACGUGAAAGCCCCCGGCUUAACCGGGGAGGGUCGUUGGGGACGGCGGGGCUUGAGGGCGGGAGAGGUCGGUGGAAUUCCCGGUGUAGUGGUGAAAUGCGUAGAGAUCGGGAGGAACAUCUGUGGCGAAGGCGGCCAUCUGGACCAGCACUGACACUGAGGCACGAAAGCGUGGGGAGCAAACAGG